This 788-nucleotide long non-coding RNA is filed under the name Linum usitatissimum (flax). Its description in RNAcentral is "long non-coding RNA (LUSI_LNC002938)". The record is from RNAcentral. Lineage: Eukaryota; Viridiplantae; Streptophyta; Magnoliopsida; Malpighiales; Linaceae.
CGCUACAUGAUUCAUAAGUUCACAAGAAAUGAAGAAGACUGUUACACCCUAAACUUCUAGCAUUUAUUAAAUGACCAAAAUACCCCGGGGCGGACGGAAGACUCAAAUUAAAUAUAAAAGUCAAAGUCAACAAAAUAAAUGAUUCAAAGUCAAGAAGUUAUUUUGAAACAAAUAGCCCUACAUACAUGGGAAAAAUUAAAAAUAUGAAAACCAAGUCCAACGUAAAUCAUGAAUAAAGUCUCAAGUCUAAUAACUCCAAAGAAAACAUCAUAAGUGUCCAACAUCCAUCCCGAUUAAUCACUCAGAGUCUUGGGACAUGAUUGGCAGCAACUACUGCUCUUACAACUCGUCUCCGCUCCGAUAUCUCUCGUAUGACCUGGUGGGUGGCUCAGGGUCAGUCUUUCGUGCUUAAUUUUUUUAUGUUGGUAAGUACAUUAUGAAAUAAUCGUGGUAUCAUGUUAUUCGUAUAAUAGUAGGCAUUAUCGUGAAAGUCAAACUAUGUGACUUAUAUUCUUAUACUAGCCUUGACAUUCAUUCAAGGUUUCUUAAUUCAUGUAGGGCGUCCCCUCUUCUCACUAACAAGCCCUACCACCCAUUCAUGAAAAAUCAUGGAUGUCCAGGAGAACAUAUCCGCCAGACAACAUAUCGUGUUUUUUUGGAGAUCUGGGAGAACGUAUUCGUCAGAAAAUAUAUCGUGUGGGCAAUACUAGCCCUAUUCGUGUGGGAGCGGGGGUCUAGCUAGUGAGACUCAUGUUAUUAUUCCACCUAGUAAUGGUCUAUAUUUGAUU